UUUGUGAAUAUUAGUAAUAAAAGUAUUUUUUGAGAUUAAUUGAGUUUUCGAGAUUCCUAAAAUUAAUGCAGAUAAGUGUAAUGCCUGUUUCUAUCGUAACAAAAAUAUAUCUAAAAGAAAGUAUUCAGCACAAACAAAAAUGGAAUGUUGUAAGGCAUAUAAUAUAGGCUGCAAAAAAAAUGAUGGCACAAGCAUAACAAUCGUCUGUGAUUGAAAUUUUAUGUACUUCAUCAACUUCAAAUUUACUAAUGACUUCUGGACCGUUGCCUCAGCCUGUGAUUACCGGUACAAAGAUUAUUAUGGAUUUAGAUCCAUCUUACCGUAUAACAAUUAUCGUCAAUUUGAUAUUUUCAAUUAUCAAAGUAUGCGGGCUCACUCCAGUGAUUUGAUUUAUUCAAUUAUACAAAAAUUUCAAAUUUUAAUGUUGAGUGAAACUUAGUUAUAUGAUAAGGAGUCUGUUAAUAUACUGAAUUUCAAUUGUAUAAUUUAAUACAAAUGAUCAAAUGUUCGAGCUGGAGAAGUUGCUAUCUUCCACAAUGUGAAUGGUACAACUAACAUUGUGACCGCUACUAUUGACAUGACUGUGAGAUAGUCCGAUUUUGCUAGUUAUGCGAUGUCAUCAGUGGGUGAAUUUUGUAUAGUGGAGUGUAAAACAUAAGAUGGUAAUAAAAUUGUGUUAAUAGCAA
This 686-nucleotide unclassified non-coding RNA is filed under the name Polistes fuscatus (common paper wasp). Its description in RNAcentral is "histone H2A-like, transcript variant X1". Lineage: Eukaryota; Metazoa; Arthropoda; Insecta; Hymenoptera; Vespidae. The record is from RNAcentral.